RNAcentral lists this unclassified non-coding RNA (315 nucleotides) under uncultured fungus. RNAcentral's name for it is "partial contains small subunit ribosomal RNA, internal transcribed spacer 1, and 5.8S ribosomal RNA". The stretch from base 1 to 73 matches the Rfam family "Eukaryotic small subunit ribosomal RNA", at positions 1759 to 1831 of the family's 1831-position model. Lineage: Eukaryota; Fungi. The record is from RNAcentral.
ACAAACUUGGUCAUUUAGAGGAAGUAAAAGUCGUAACAAGGUUUCCGUAGGUGAACCUGCGGAAGGAUCAUUAACAAUUGUCCACUUUAAUGGAUAAUUUAUCCAUAUCCACCUUGUGUGAAUCAUUGAAGCGUUUGUUGGCAGGUUAGGCUCUUCUGCAUAGGAGAUGCCGUGAGUUUAGAUUUUGUCUGCUCGGCCUGCCAAUUUUAUUUGUUUAAACAUGUCUAAAAUAUAUUGGACUGAAAUAGAUAUAAUAUAAUAAAUACAACUUUCAACAAUGGAUCUCUUGGCUCUCGCAUCGAUGAAGAACGCAGC